CCCUUAGAUGUUCUGGGCCGCACGCGCGCUACACUGACGAUGGCAACGAGUUUUUCCUUCGCCGAAAGGUGUGGGUAAUCUUUUGAAACAUCGUCGUGCUGGGGAUAGAUCAUUGCAAUUUUUGAUCUUGAACGAGGAAUUCCUAGUAAGCGCGAGUCAUCAGCUCGCGUUGAUUACGUCCCUGCCCUUUGUACACACCGCCCGUCGCUACUACCGAUUGAAUGGUUUAGUGAGGACUCCUGAUUGGCGCCGCCGCCCCGGCAACGGAGUAGCGGACUGCCGAAAAGUUGUUCAAACUUGAUCAUUUAGAGGAAGUAAAAGUCGUAACA
This 329-nucleotide ribosomal RNA is filed under the name uncultured eukaryote. Its description in RNAcentral is "partial 18S ribosomal RNA". It matches the Rfam family "Eukaryotic small subunit ribosomal RNA", at positions 1470 to 1796 of the family's 1831-position model. The record is from RNAcentral.